UUCAUAGGAGGCACACAUAAAUAAUGUUGGUUUAAUUAAUGAAAUUAAAAAAGGCUGCACUCUCCUAACCAGAUUGUGUAUCUCCUCUGCACCUGAAGUUCAGACUUGGUAAAGCAGGAUUUUACACAUUAAUUUGAGAAGAUCUGGAGACCCACUAUGAAAAUGGAGAAUAUAUUAUCAGGCAAGGUGCAAGAGGGGACACCUUCUUUAUCAUCAGCAAAGGAACGGUAAAUGUCACUCGUGAAGACUCACCGAGUGAAGACCCAGUCUUUCUUAGAACUUUAGGAAAAGGAGACUGGUUUGGAGAGAAAGCCUUGCAGGGGCAUUUGGGAAAUACUGGUGGAGAAGCAAAACAUGUUUCUUCAUGGAUCUUACAUUUUGAGGGAAGAUGUGAGAACAGCAAACGUAAUUGCUGCAGAAGCUGUAACCUGCCUUGUGAUUGACAGAGACUCUUUCAAACAUUUGAUUGGAGGGCUGGAUGAUGUUUCUAAUAAAGCAUAUGAAGAUGCAGAAGCUAAAGCAAAAUAUGAAGCUGAAGCGGCUUUCUUCGCCAACCUGAAGCUGUCUGAUUUCAACAUCAUUGAUACCCUUGGAGUUGGAGGUUUCGGACGAGUAGAACUGGUCCAGUUGAAAAGUGAAGAAUCCAAAACGUUUGCAAUGAAGAUUCUCAAGAAACGUCACAUUGUGGACACAAGACAGCAGGAGCACAUCCGCUCAGAGAAGCAGAUCAUGCAGGGGGCUCAUUCCGAUUUCAUAGUAAGACUGUACAGAACAUUUAAGGACAGCAAAUAUUUGUAUAUGUUGAUGGAAGCUUGUCUAGGUGGAGAGCUCUGGACCAUUCUCAGGGAUAGAGGUUCGUUUGAAGAUUCUACAACCAGAUUUUACACAGCAUGUGUGGUAGAAGCUUUUGCCUAUCUGCAUUCCAAAGGAAUCAUUUACAGGGACCUCAAGCCAGAAAAUCUCAUCCUAGAUCACCGAGGUUAUGCCAAACUGGUUGAUUUUGGCUUUGCAAAGAAAAUAGGAUUUGGAAAGAAAACAUGGACUUUUUGUGGGACUCCAGAGUAUGUAGCCCCAGAGAUCAUCCUGAACAAAGGCCAUGACAUUUCAGCCGACUACUGGUCACUGGGAAUCCUAAUGUAUGAACUCCUGACUGGCAGCCCACCUUUCUCAGGCCCAGAUCCUAUGAAAACCUAUAACAUCAUAUUGAGGGGGAUUGACAUGAUAGAAUUUCCAAAGAAGAUUGCCAAAAAUGCUGCUAAUUUAAUUAAAAAACUAUGCAGGGACAAUCCAUCAGAAAGAUUAGGGAAUUUGAAAAAUGGAGUAAAAGACAUUCAAAAGCACAAAUGGUUUGAGGGCUUUAACUGGGAAGGCUUAAGAAAAGGUACCUUGACACCUCCUAUAAUACCAAGUGUUGCAUCACCCACAGACACAAGUAAUUUUGACAGUUUCCCUGAGGACAACGAUGAACCACCACCUGAUGACAACUCAGGAUGGGAUAUAGACUUCUAAUGUAUUUCUCUUACCUGCUUCUGCCUUGCUGAAGACAGCUUUUUCUGAGACACAGCUGCCAGCAAACCUGAGGGAAAGAGAGAAGAUUAGUGCUCGGGGUCACCAUGAUGCCUUUGAUCGAUGCUGCUCCAGUAACUACAGUGGCAUUAGGACUUAUCGCUUAGAUGACAAUAGUGCUCUUUACAUGUUUUCUGUUUGAACCUAAAAUAGCAGUUGACAUGGUGGUCCUGAAGCAAAGCCUUUCACCAGUAAAGAGAUGUUUUCUAUUGUUGCAAUG
RNAcentral lists this small RNA (1786 nucleotides) under Pan troglodytes (chimpanzee). RNAcentral describes it as "processed transcript". The record is from RNAcentral. Lineage: Eukaryota; Metazoa; Chordata; Mammalia; Primates; Hominidae.